RNAcentral lists this ribosomal RNA (372 nucleotides) under uncultured organism. Its description in RNAcentral is "partial 16S ribosomal RNA". It matches the Rfam family "Bacterial small subunit ribosomal RNA", at positions 527 to 896 of the family's 1533-position model. The record is from RNAcentral.
GUAGGGUGCGAGCGUUAAUCGGAAUUACUGGGGCGUAAAGCGUGCGCAGGCGGUCUGUUAAGACAGAUGUGAAAUCCCCCGGGGCUCAACCUGGGAACUGCAUUUGUGACUGGCAGGCUAGAGUAUGGCAGAGGGGGGUAGAAUUCCACGUGUAGCAGUGAAAUGCGUAGAGAUGUGGAGGAAUACCGAUGGCGAAGGCAGCCCCCUGGGCCAAUACUGACGCUCAUGCACGAAAGCGUGGGGAGCAAACAGGAUUAGAUACCCUGGUAGUCCACGCCCUAAACGAUGUCAACUAGUUGUUGGGGAUUCAUUUCCUUAGUAACGUAGCUAACGCGUGAAGUUGACCGCCUGGGGAGUACGGUCGCAAGAUUA